CCUACGGAGGGCAGCAGUGGGGGAUAUUGCACAAUGGGGGAAACCCUGAUGCAGCGACGCCGCGUGAGCGAUGAAGUAUUUCGGUAUGUAAAGCUCUAUCAGCAGGGAAGAAAAUGACGGUACCUGACUAAGAAGCCCCGGCUAACUACGUGCCAGCAGCCGCGGUAAUACGUAGGGGGCAAGCGUUAUCCGGAUUUACUGGGGGUAAAGGGAGCGUAGACGGGGAUGCAAGCCAGAUGUGAAAGCCGGGGGCUCAACCCCGGGACUGCAUUUGGAACUGUAUAGCUGGAGUGUCGGAGAGGCAGGCGGAAUUCCUGGUGUAGCGGUGAAAUGCGUAGAUAUUAGGAAGAACACCAGUGGCGAAGGCGGCCUGCUGGACGAUGACUGACGUUGAGGCUCGAAAGCGUGGGGAGCAAACAGGAUUAGAUACCCCAGUAGUC
This 440-nucleotide ribosomal RNA is filed under the name uncultured bacterium. RNAcentral's name for it is "partial 16S ribosomal RNA". It matches the Rfam family "Bacterial small subunit ribosomal RNA", at positions 338 to 795 of the family's 1533-position model. The record is from RNAcentral.